Molecule: ribosomal RNA, 253 nt
Filed under: uncultured bacterium
Lineage: Bacteria
Description: partial 16S ribosomal RNA
Rfam family: Bacterial small subunit ribosomal RNA
Source: RNAcentral
UACGGGGGGGGUAAGCGUUGUUCGGAAUUACUGGGCGUAAAGGGCUCGUAGGCGGCCAACUAAGUCGGACGUGAAAUCCCUCAGCUUAACUGGGGAACUGCGUCCGAUACUGGAUGGCUUGGAUUUGGGAGAGGGAUGCGGAAUUCCAGGUGUAGCGGUGAAAUGCGCAGAUAUCAGGAGGAACACCGGUGGCGAAGGCGGGUCUCUGGACGGUGACUGACGCUGAGACGCGAAAGCGUGGGGAGCAAACAGG